RNAcentral lists this ribosomal RNA (327 nucleotides) under uncultured eukaryote. Its description in RNAcentral is "partial 18S ribosomal RNA". It matches the Rfam family "Eukaryotic small subunit ribosomal RNA", at positions 1470 to 1796 of the family's 1831-position model. The record is from RNAcentral.
CCCUUAGAUGUUCUGGGCCGCACACGCGCUACACUGAAGGAGGCAGCGUGUACUCCUGGAUCGAAAGAUUUGGGUAACCCGCGAAUCUCCUUCGUGCUAGGGAUUGAGGUUUGCAAUUAUCCUUCAUGAACGAGGAAUUCCCAGUAAGUGCAAGUCAUAAGCUUGCGCUGACUACGUCCCUGCCCUUUGUACACACCGCCCGUCGCUACUACCGAUUGAAUGGUCCGGUGAAAAUUUCGGAUACCGGCAUUGCUGGCGGUUCGCCGCCGGCGACGCUGGUAGAAGAUCUUUAAACCUUAUCAUUUAGAGGAAGGAGGANUCGUANCA